CCUUAUAUUUUGGCUUUCCAAUUGAUGUUGGCUCUGACCUCUUGACAUUCAAUUGACAGUAAGCAGAGAUGCUGAGACAGUUCAGAAGGAACAUCACCAGGAGCCACAGCAACAGCCAAGGAAGCUUAUAUGGAAGUAUUUUUGAUUUUCAUUUUCUUUCCCCUACCCCCUGCUGACUCUAACAUAACUAACCCUCACCUUCCCUUUCCCCCUCAUUUCAUCUUCCUGAAUUAAUUGCCAUUGUUUUCUGCUUUUUCAACUAAUUGUGUGGUACUGAUUUUUACCACUUGAAUUUUUGUGAUUUGUUGCAUUGUUUUGAAGUUUUACUAAUCUUCUGCCAGUUUUAUACUUUCAGGAACUCAGAAGAGGGACAACGAUGGAGGAGCAAGGUCGUCCAACAGAAAAAGACAAGACGACGAGUCCAUUUCUCAGCUAUAUACAGCAGUCAGCAUGGCCCAAAGUGCAGAAGAAAGUUGAGAUUGACCAGGAUGCUGAAGUGCGGAGAAGUACCUCUCCUAUUUAACAGCAUUCGAGAAAAGAAAGUACGUAAGCAGAGAUGCUGAGACAGUUCAGAAGGAACAUCACCAGGAGCCACAGCAACAGCCAAGGAAGCUUAUAUGGAAGUAUUUUUGAUUUUCAUUUUCUUUCCCCUACCCCCUGCUGACUCUAACAUAACUAACCCUCACCUUCCCUUUCCCCCUCAUUUCAUCUUCCUGAAUUAAUUGCCAUUGUUUUCUGCUUUUUCAACUAAUUGUGUGGUACUGAUUUUUACCACUUGAAUUUUUGUGAUUUGUUGCAUUGUUUUGAAGUUUUACUAAUCUUCUGCCAGUUUUAUACUUUCAGGAACUCAGAAGAGGGACAACGAUGGAGGAGCAAGGUCGUCCAACAGAAAAAGACAAGACGACGAGUCCAUUUCUCAGCUAUAUACAGCAGUCAGCAUGGCCCAAAGUGCAGAAGAAAGUUGAGAUUGACCAGGAUGCUGAAGUGCGGAGAAGUACCUCUCCUAUUUAACAGCAUUCGAGAAAAGAAAGUACGUAAGCAGAGAUGCUGAGACAGUUCAGAAG
This is a long non-coding RNA of Saccostrea cuccullata (small rock oyster), 1064 nucleotides long. RefSeq lists it as uncharacterized. The record is from RefSeq and is a predicted model, not a curated record. The transcript is spliced from 5 exons. Lineage: Eukaryota; Metazoa; Mollusca; Bivalvia; Ostreida; Ostreidae.